CCUACGGGAGGCAGCAGUGGGGGAUAUUGCACAAUGGGGGAAACCCUGAUGCAGCGACGCCGCGUGAGUGAAGAAGUAUUUCGGUAUGUAAAGCUCUAUCAGCAGGGAAGAAAAUGACAGUACCUGACCAAGAAGCCCCGGCUAACUACGUGCCAGCAGCCGCGGUAAUACGUAGGGGGCAAGCGUAAUACGGAUUUACUGGGUGUAAAGGGAGCGUAGACGGUUAUGUAAGUCUGGAGUGAAAGCCCGGGGCCCAACCCCGGGACUGCUUUGGAAACUGUGUAACUGGAGUGCAGGAGGGGCAGGCGGAAUUCCUGGUGUAGCGGUGAAAUGCGUAGAUAUCAGGAGGAACACCGGCGGCGAAGGCGGCCUGCUGCACUGAAACUGACGUUGAGGCUCGAAAGCGUGGGGAGCAAACAGGAUUAGAUACCCCAGUAGUC
This 440-nucleotide ribosomal RNA is filed under the name uncultured bacterium. RNAcentral describes it as "partial 16S ribosomal RNA". It matches the Rfam family "Bacterial small subunit ribosomal RNA", at positions 338 to 795 of the family's 1533-position model. The record is from RNAcentral.